Molecule: transfer RNA, 91 nt
Filed under: Burkholderia cenocepacia
Lineage: Bacteria; Pseudomonadati; Pseudomonadota; Betaproteobacteria; Burkholderiales; Burkholderiaceae
Description: tRNA-OTHER
Source: RNAcentral
GUGGUUGGAAUUUUGGUCAACAUCCGGGAAUGUAUGGAUGAGAGGAUUGUGAUUCCUGUCGUCGUGGGUUCGAGUCCCAUCAGCCACCCCA